CACGGGGCUUCCGUUCCCGAGUGCGUCGCCCGCUUUUGGGGCCCCCCUGGGCGCGCCGCUCGCGGCCCCGGCUGGUAUCCCUGGGGCUCCAGUGGGCAUGGUGGGUGCCUCAGUGGGCAUGGCUGGGGCACCGAUGGGUAUGCCGGGGGUCCCGGCCACCACAGCGGCCGCAGCGGACCCCUGGGCGCCGGCACGAGCCUCGUCCCCCUGGUCGCCCCCCGCCACUAGGCAUACUCCAAACCCCUUCCUAUCCUAGCCACAGAGAAGCUGUCAGUAGGCAGGGCCGCACCCGUGCUUGAACGUACCGCUCGGUACGAGACCGGUGGUAAAACAGACCCACGAGUUCGUGAAUACAAACAAUUACUAAAUUAAACCUCACAGCAAUAAGACAAAUAAUUAAUGUAUAAAUCGACCAAUUAACAUAAGCUCCGUGUUUAUGUGUAAUAAGAAACACCUCUACAAAAACAUUCGUCCUUCAAACCGCUCGUGUAGCCAUCGGUCGUUUAAUUAUAAUUAGAUCCUAUCUAAAUACUUCGAUCAAUUCAUUUACGUCAAUGGAUUACUAUUACACUAUACAUUGAACUGUCAAUAUUUUUGAAUCACACGAUAAAAUUAGUAAACGUCAACAUGACAGUUUUCUACAUAGUGUAGUCUCGUCUUUAUUUAGAAAAAAAUAUAUAUAUAUUGACAAGAUUGUUUAUCUGUAAUGUUUUUUUUUUUUUUUUUUUUUUUAUAAUUCUUGUGAAUGUAUUUAAAUUUAGAAUGGAAAAUAACGUGAAAACUAUUGUGGUGAUAGGUUUUAAAUUAAGAAUAUCAGGAUACAGUAUAUAAUAAACUAGACUGGGUACCGCUGUCGCGUAGACUGGACGUGUUCAGAAACGGUACAGAUUAAAAAUACUAAUUUCUUUAAAAAUAACAGCACGCUAAUAUUUUUCAUCUAUGUUUGUAAUUAAUUAAUAAACUUUAUAUUACAAUGAGGUGCUAAUGAGCAGAACAUACCUAAAAAAAUAAUAACAGUAUUAAUAUUUUAAAGGGAAUUUGUAAAACGGUUUCUGAACGCGAUUAUAGUAGCAUAGAAUAGUGUCAGUGGUCCGUUGUCAGUAUUCCAGCCAGGAUUAAUUAACACCAAUAGGAAUAAUUUAUUAUCUGUAGCCGUAAACGGUUUUGGAGGGAAUACUUUCAACGUACUGAAAAACGGUUGUUUAAGGAAUUAAUAUAGAAUUAUGUAAAAGGAACUUCGUGAUGUGGUUAUUAUGCUUAAAUUUAAAAAAGUGUUUUGUCCUUAUUAAAUCCUUUUCCUAGAUAGAGAAAGACCUAUGCCAAGCAGUGAGACGUAACAAAACAUUGUCUGUUAUAUCUGUUAAUAUGUCAUUUAGGACAGUUUUAUUAAUCAUUACUUUUAAAAAAUAUGUAUUGUAUCAUAUUUGUUACAAUACAAAAUCAAUUGUAUUUCAAUUUGUACUAUAUGUAGGUAUGUUGUAUUACGUUAGGUUGACUAAACCUAGAAUCGAUUUUUAAAAGUUUUUUUUAUCACUUUCCAAUACUUUUUAGUCAAAUUAAUAAAGCUUACUUUUUUGACAA
Long non-coding RNA from Melitaea cinxia (Glanville fritillary), 1581 nucleotides. RefSeq lists it as uncharacterized. NCBI's taxonomy places the organism in Eukaryota, Metazoa, Arthropoda, Insecta, Lepidoptera, Nymphalidae. The record is from RefSeq and is a predicted model, not a curated record. The transcript is spliced from 2 exons.